This 218-nucleotide long non-coding RNA is filed under the name Lathyrus oleraceus (garden pea). Its description in RNAcentral is "Pisum sativum (pea) long non-coding RNA (PSAT_LNC000520)". The record is from RNAcentral. Lineage: Eukaryota; Viridiplantae; Streptophyta; Magnoliopsida; Fabales; Fabaceae.
AAAAAUGUUAAGGGAUCAAGAAGUUAUGGAUAUUUGAAGUUAUGAAGAAAAAUGAACAUUUAACAAGUGAAAAAAAAAUCAUUACACUACCCAGAUUUGAACCCACACCCAAUAACUCAACAAACCAGUGUUUUACCACUGGGGGGCAAUGCCAAUUCAUGUAUUCAGUUACAUCAAUUAACAUAUAUAUGAAAGUGACUUUUAAAAUUUUAAAAAAU